UUUAGGGGUAAACAGGAGAAAUCCGAAUAUCUGAAGGAAGUGAUUCACGUAAAAUCUACAUUGUACAUUAUUUGUAAAUUGAUGACACUUUAAACUCCUUUCAUUGAACUUUGUUUAAUGUUAAGGAUCCAGUUUAAUGUCACAAUUUUCAUGAUAACUUGUUUAUAAUGUAGUUUACCGCAUUUCUACCUUCCUUAUUAUAAAAAAAAAAACGUCGCGACCCAUUGAAUUCCAGUCAAAGAUAUUAUAGAAAGUUUCAUAUAACCGGGUAUUUUUUUUUUUAUAAAAUAUCAUGUUUUGUUGUAUGUAUCUCUAUAAAUUUAUCUGACUGAUUAUUCGAUGGUAUCAAAAAAAAUAAUAAAGACUAACCCGCACAUUGAUGCGUUUGAAAAUUUUUGCAAUUAUUUUUUUUUCAAUGUGAUUCUUUUAUUACGGACCUAAUGGUCCGUAUAGAAGUAAGCAUUGUUGGCAAUAAUUUUCUCAAACAGAUGGGUUAAUCUUUGUCUGCGGCGAAUAUGUUUCGGAUUUUCGCCUGACCC
Molecule: ribosomal RNA, 539 nt
Filed under: Euborellia annulipes
Lineage: Eukaryota; Metazoa; Arthropoda; Insecta; Dermaptera; Anisolabididae
Description: partial 28S ribosomal RNA
Source: RNAcentral